AGAAGAUACUCUAGAACUGUACAAGGUUAAAAAAGUAACAUGUAGUUUGUCCCAAGGUGUCUGCCUCCUCACCCAGAGCCAGACCUCCACCUCCUCACCCAGAGCCAGACCUCCACCUCCUCACCCAGAGCCAGACCUCCACCUCCUGUCAGAAGUCCUCCAGAACAGCUGAAAGGGGAGGCUGAGAGGCUGGGGACCGGAGGCUUGUGGUGCCAGGGUGGACCGGAGACUGAGGCUGGAGACCAGGGGCCUGCAGCACCGGACCAGAGGAACGUGUUUCUGGAGCGGAGGCGAGCUGGUAGGGGAGCCGUGAAUCUGGAGGAUGACCAUCACUCUACCAACAAGGAUU
Gadus morhua (Atlantic cod) is the source of this 349-nucleotide long non-coding RNA. Lineage: Eukaryota; Metazoa; Chordata; Actinopteri; Gadiformes; Gadidae. The record is from Ensembl.